This 653-nucleotide long non-coding RNA is filed under the name Sinocyclocheilus anshuiensis. RNAcentral's name for it is "lncRNA (ENSSANG00000050696.1)". The record is from RNAcentral. Lineage: Eukaryota; Metazoa; Chordata; Actinopteri; Cypriniformes; Cyprinidae.
GAUAAAGCCUCAGCGAAGGACAGAUCACUGGAUUCAGACUCAUGGAGCCCAAGGUCCUCUGGAGACUCUCAGGUCUCUCUGACGCCUCCUGCUGGAGAUCUGCUUCAGAUCAACUCUUCUGAGGAGGACAGAAGACUGACUCCUGCAGCUGGAUCCGGACCGAGCUUCAGCUCCAGACUGCUGGAUGCCACGGACACCUGGACAGAAGCAGAUCGUCUGAGGACAGAGGCAGUGAGCGUCUUGCCCUCGUCUCAAGACGUCGGCACUGAGGCCACCAUGUCCUCCGAAGACCUUCCUCUGAUUUUCGAGCCGUUGGAGGCCGGAGCAUCAUCUGAACCGUCUGUUGCCAUGACGCCAGCGGCCGUAACCGCGGGAGACGCAGAGCUGGAGCGGAUGGUGUCCAUGGAUACAGAUCUCACUUCCUCUGAUGUCCGUCUCUCAGGAACGCUGGAGACGUCUGGAGCGAGAGAGCCAAUCACAGAGUCCCAUCUGGCAGAGGAGCAUUAUGGGACGACACAACGUGAUGACAUCACACAGGCUCUGGUGGUCUCUGAGGCCGUUCACUUACCAGCGUCAAAACCAAAGACAGACAUGGACGAUCCCAAAAUUAAAGGUUUGUAAAAGCAAGUGUUCAAGGCGAGACACUGCAGGUG